This 1234-nucleotide ribosomal RNA is filed under the name Salmonella enterica subsp. enterica serovar Typhimurium. Its description in RNAcentral is "partial 23S ribosomal RNA". It matches the Rfam family "Bacterial large subunit ribosomal RNA", at positions 1726 to 2925 of the family's 2925-position model. Lineage: Bacteria; Pseudomonadati; Pseudomonadota; Gammaproteobacteria; Enterobacterales; Enterobacteriaceae. The record is from RNAcentral.
UGCCGUAACUUCGGGAGAAGGCACGCUGACACGUAGGUGAAGUGAUUUACUCAUGGAGCUGAAGUCAGUCGAAGAUACCAGCUGGCUGCAACUGUUUAUUAAAAACACAGCACUGUGCAAACACGAAAGUGGACGUAUACGGUGUGACGCCUGCCCGGUGCCGGAAGGUUAAUUGAUGGGGUCAGCGCAAGCGAAGCUCCUGAUCGAAGCCCCGGUAAACGGCGGCCGUAACUAUAACGGUCCUAAGGUAGCGAAAUUCCUUGUCGGGUAAGUUCCGACCUGCACGAAUGGCGUAAUGAUGGCCAGGCUGUCUCCACCCGAGACUCAGUGAAAUUGAACUCGCUGUGAAGAUGCAGUGUACCCGCGGCAAGACGGAAAGACCCCGUGAACCUUUACUAUAGCUUGACACUGAACAUUGAGCCUUGAUGUGUAGGAUAGGUGGGAGGCUUUGAAGUGUGGACGCCAGUCUGCAUGGAGCCGACCUUGAAAUACCACCCUUUAAUGUUUGAUGUUCUAACGUGGACCCGUAAUCCGGGUUGCGGACAGUGUCUGGUGGGUAGUUUGACUGGGGCGGUCUCCUCCUAAAGAGUAACGGAGGAGCACGAAGGUUGGCUAAUCCUGGUCGGACAUCAGGAGGUUAGUGCAAUGGCAUAAGCCAGCUUGACUGCGAGCGUGACGGCGCGAGCAGGUGCGAAAGCAGGUCAUAGUGAUCCGGUGGUUCUGAAUGGAAGGGCCAUCGCUCAACGGAUAAAAGGUACUCCGGGGAUAACAGGCUGAUACCGCCCAAGAGUUCAUAUCGACGGCGGUGUUUGGCACCUCGAUGUCGGCUCAUCACAUCCUGGGGCUGAAGUAGGUCCCAAGGGUAUGGCUGUUCGCCAUUUAAAGUGGUACGCGAGCUGGGUUUAGAACGUCGUGAGACAGUUCGGUCCCUAUCUGCCGUGGGCGCUGGAGAACUGAGGGGGGCUGCUCCUAGUACGAGAGGACCGGAGUGGACGCAUCACUGGUGUUCGGGUUGUCAUGCCAAUGGCACUGCCCGGUAGCUAAAUGCGGAAGAGAUAAGUGCUGAAAGCAUCUAAGCACGAAACUUGCCCCGAGAUGAGUUCUCCCUGAGACUUAGAGUCUCCUGAAGGAACGUUGAAGACGACGACGUUGAUAGGCCGGGUGUGUAAGCGCAGCGAUGCGUUGAGCUAACCGGUACUAAUGAACCGUGAGGCUUAACCUUACAACGCCGAAG